UACAGAGGUCCCAAGCGUUGUUCGGAUUCACUGGGCGUAAAGGGUGCGUAGGUGGCGGGGUAAGUCUGAUGUGAAAUCUCCGAGCUUAACUCGGAAACUGCAUUCGAUACUGCCGUGCUUGAGGACUGGAGAGGAGACUGGAAUUUACGGUGUAGCGGUGAAAUGCGUAGAUAUCGUAAGGAAGACCAGUGGCGAAGGCGGGUCUCUGGACAGUUCCUGACGCUGAGGCACGAAGGUCAGGGGAGCAAACGGG
Molecule: ribosomal RNA, 253 nt
Filed under: uncultured bacterium
Lineage: Bacteria
Description: partial 16S ribosomal RNA
Rfam family: Bacterial small subunit ribosomal RNA
Source: RNAcentral